GCGCGCCCCAGGCCUCUUCCCUGUGCCGCACCCCACACCUUAGUUCCACCUGAAACCCCUGUGCGGCUUCUGCUGGCCCCGCUGGACACGCUUUUGUCACGCCGUGGCCUAGUCCAGUUUCCUCGGCCAGUCCUCUGCAACCCAGCUCGGAUGCUUCCUCACCGACUCACCGACGGGACGGGUACUUAGAACCGUCGGCUGGCCCCCUGGUGGCCAUUCUGGCGCCUGCUCCUUUUUUUUUGGCACGUGCUGGAGGCCUUUCGGGGCCAGUUGCAGCCAACAAGGGCUUCCUGGGAAUUUGGACUAUGGGUCCAAUUGCUGCCAGGGACUCCAGUGUUCAUCUGUCAGUAUCUCCGUCCAUCUACUCACCACUCUCUCCUUCCUUCGUUCUCCUCUUACCUUUUGAGGUUGUUGGGUGCCCCAAAACAGGAACUAAGGUCCCAUGCCCCUUGCCCACAAUUGUCCAACAUUCCCUGGAGCUCACCCUGUUAAUUCCUCCUGUUCGUAGCCGUACUGUUUAAGAGUUAAGAUCACAGUGAGCACCAGAUCCUGAGGGACCUUGGUCUCUCAUUGGGGCUGAGUUGUAGACAAGGUCGGCUUAGAUACAAGUUCCUGACACACUAGAUCUGUACCCCCAACAGAUCUGGUUUGGAUCCAUCCCAGCCUGCAAAACAGCUUCCAAGUCUGGUGGCUCCUGGGCACUUAGGGAUGUUGGCCUGUGAAUUGUACCAUCUGGGACCAAAGUUAUCAGCAGAUUGUCUGGGGGCUCUCAUUUUGUGGCCGGUGGCUCUGAGUGGCCCAGUAAUCUUUUUACUUUGUUUUUUUAGUUUAGGGUCCUAUGCAUUAUCCCUGCCUGGCCUCCAACUGACCUUGAAGUCCUGUUCUAUGUGAUUCCACCCCUAAAUUGCACAAAUCGUACCACAUCCACUUUGGAAUCUACUUUUCAGCUAGGGUCACAGUUGAGCCUGGUCUGGACUCACGGAUAUUGGAUUUUCUGCAGGAAUGAGACUGAGGGAAAGACUGCGUGGAGAGGCAGCUGGAAGUCGUAUGUAGUUAUUGAAAGGAUUGAUCUGUGGUCCACAGGGCACUGCAGAAGGUUUAGAGCAGGAGUGUAUGAUGUAACGCCAUGGUGUAGUGAUAGUAUGCAAAUCACUCUAAUCUCCCUAGCAGGCAAGCACUUCUUAUGACUAUCCCAUGUAGAUUCUUUUUUUUGUUUUGUUUUGUUUUUUUUGGUUUUUUGAGACAGGGUUUCUCUGUGUAGUUCUGGCUGUUCUAGAACUCAAUGUAGACCAGACUGGCCUCAAACUCAGAAAUCUGCCUGCCUCUGCCUCCCAAGUGCUGGGAUCAAAGUCGUGCGCCACCACUGCCCCGGCUCCAUGUGGAUUCUUGAAUAAAAGACACACAC
Molecule: long non-coding RNA, 1405 nt
Organism: Mus musculus (house mouse)
Lineage: Eukaryota; Metazoa; Chordata; Mammalia; Rodentia; Muridae
Product: predicted gene, 17801
Exons: 1
Source: RefSeq, marked validated